GACGAACGCUGGCGGCGUGCUUAACACAUGCAAGUCGAACGGAAAGGCCCUGCUUUUGUGGGGUGCUCGAGUGGCGAACGGGUGAGUAACACGAGAGUAACCUGCCCUUGACUUUGGGAUAACUUCAGGAAACUGGGGCUAAUACCGGACAGCAGCUCCUGCUGCAUGGUGGGGGUUGGAUAGUUUCGGCGGUUGGGGAUGGUCUCGCGGCUUAUCAGCUUGCUGGUGGGGUAGUGGCUUACCAAGGCUUUGACGGGUAGCCGGCCUGAGAGGGUGACCGGCCACAUUGGGACUGAGAUACGGCCCAGACUCCUACGGGAGGCAGCAGUGGGGAAUAUUGCACAAUGGGCGGAAGCCUGAUGCAGCGACGCCGCGUGCGGGAUGACGGCCUUCGGGUUGUAAACCGCUUUCGGCUGAGACGAAGCGUGAGUGACGGUAAUGGGUGAAGAAGCACCGGCUAACUACGUG
RNAcentral lists this ribosomal RNA (468 nucleotides) under uncultured bacterium. Its description in RNAcentral is "partial 16S ribosomal RNA". It matches the Rfam family "Bacterial small subunit ribosomal RNA", at positions 28 to 507 of the family's 1533-position model. The record is from RNAcentral.